This is a long non-coding RNA of Rosa rugosa (rugosa rose), 1247 nucleotides long. RefSeq lists it as uncharacterized. The transcript has 3 exons. The record is from RefSeq and is a predicted model, not a curated record. Lineage: Eukaryota; Viridiplantae; Streptophyta; Magnoliopsida; Rosales; Rosaceae.
UCUCUCCCUCUUCCCCCGCGUCGCCCUCUUUCCUUCUUUUUCCGAUUUCUUCACCGUCCGGCGUCCGAUUGACGUGAUUCCAGUUGUCCUUGGACCGUCUCUUCCUCCUCUACACGAUGGUACCAGUGGGUAUCGGCGAUUUGGCCGGCAAACCCCGAAUUUAUGCAAGCAUGGUUACUGUAGCAGUUUGCUUCUCCGGCGAAAUUCUCCAGUUUCCGGCUAUCUUCGGCGGUGAAAUUGGCUCUAUUAGGAGCGCCUCGGGUCACUGAUCAUCUUCCCUCAAGACUUCUAGUUGGAAUUUCCACGUUUGGAAGGUGAAUUUGAAGGAUUUCCAAAUUUGUGGGUUUGGAGAUUUCCGGGUUUGUGUUCAUCGGCAAAAUUGGAGCAUUUCAAGGGCGAUAUACCGAACUAUUGCUCGAUGAAGGAACUCGUAUGCGUGAUCGCCUAAAUAGUACUUUUGCAGGCCAGUUUAGCUUGAGGUCGAGCGUACUUGGGGUUGAGGCAUAGUUGUCAUAGCUUCCGCAUUAUAAAAGCAUCGGUCAUUUAUCUUGCUUUCUAUUCUCUUGUUCGCCUGUACAUUAGAUUGCUCUGAUAACCUAUGAGAUUAAUAUUCUUAAAUUCAGAAUUGUUUAUGAAAUGAGAUAUGUGAGAUGUUGUGAUAUAGGGAGCAGGGUGGCUCCAGGAGAAUAAGGAUGGAUGAUUUAGAAGUGUGGAUGUUUUUCUACAGGUUUUGGGUUGUCCAUUUUUAGGGGAAGUUCUGGCAAAUUUUUGGUAGAAUUUCUUCUAAAGUGGGCCCCGCAGGGCCUCUUCGGAUUUCAGGGUGAAAUCCGGGGCGGGUCCUGUCAGUAAUUUUGAUCAUACCACCCAAGAUGAAGACCACGGAGUGAGAACAGCUGGCCAUGGUGCUCAAGAGAAGACCCGAUAUGGGAGGAGGACUAGAGGUGCAACUGAUGAUCAAAGUACCCCAUCUGAUGUUUCUUCAAUUGCCUUAAGUUUUGACUCAAUCAGUUUAAGCACAGAGCGCAGUGGGAUUUCAAAUGAAUCUCAUAAAGGCAACAAUCAAUUUGGUUAUGAUGCUUAUGGAUAUAAUCAAUAUGGAGAAGUAUAUGAUCAGUCAUCUAGUUGGGUUCAUCCUUAUUAUCCCCUUAUAGGAGAAACAGUCGGCAGCUCUAAAGAGAUCUAUAACUAUCAUGUUCAUCACUACAAUUUGCACUAUAUGUGUCAUAUGUCUUGGUCUGAUUAUUGCA